AACUCAAUUCAUAUAUAUAUAUAUAUAUAGAGAGAGAGAGAGAGAGAGAGAGAGAUGUACGUAUACAUGUAGUUGUAGAUGUACAUCUACAUAUACAUGUACGUAAACAUAUAUAGAGUUCAAUUACUAUGCUAUCAAUAGCAUCAAGCGCUUGAUGCUACCAAGUUUUCUGCCAUUAGAUCUACCUCUCUUUGACUAUUUUUAUCCGUUAAAUCAUACUAUUCAACCAACCGCCACUAAACUCUAAGAGACCACUAUUAUCCUGACUGUACAUCUCUUUAUCCAAUAACCGAAAACCUUAUAUAUAGCACCACUGACUCGGUGCUUUUAAAAGUAUAUUAGUCUAACUCUCUCUCUCUCUCUGUAUAUGUAUAUAU
This 377-nucleotide long non-coding RNA is filed under the name Ananas comosus (pineapple). RNAcentral describes it as "long non-coding RNA (ACOM_LNC019803)". The record is from RNAcentral. Lineage: Eukaryota; Viridiplantae; Streptophyta; Magnoliopsida; Poales; Bromeliaceae.